This 484-nucleotide ribosomal RNA is filed under the name uncultured bacterium. RNAcentral describes it as "partial 16S ribosomal RNA". It matches the Rfam family "Bacterial small subunit ribosomal RNA", at positions 30 to 507 of the family's 1533-position model. The record is from RNAcentral.
AUUGAACGCUGGCGGCAGGCCUAACACAUGCAAGUCGAGCGGAUGAAGGGAGCUUGCUCCUGGAUUCAGCGGCGGACGGGUGAGUAAUGCCUAGGAAUCUGCCUGGUAGUGGGGGAUAACGUCCGGAAACGGGCGCUAAUACCGCAUACGUCCUGAGGGAGAAAGUGGGGGAUCUUCGGACCUCACGCUAUCAGAUGAGCCUAGGUCGGAUUAGCUAGUUGGUGGGGUAAAGGCCUACCAAGGCGACGAUCCGUAACUGGUCUGAGAGGAUGAUCAGUCACACGGGAACUGAGACACGGUCCAGACUCCUACGGGAGGACGCAGUCGGGAAUAUUGGGCGAUGGGCGAAUGCCUGAUACAGCAAUGCCGCGUGUGUGAAGAAGGUCUUCGGAUUGUAAAGCACUUUAAGUUGGGAGGAAGGGCAGUAAGUUAAUACCUUGCUGUUUUGACGGUACCAACAGAAUAAGCACCGGCUAACUUCGUG